CCUACGGGAGGCAGCAGUGGGGAAUAUUGGGCAAUGGGCGCAAGCCUGACCCAGCAACGCCGCGUGAAGGAAGAAGGCCCUCGGGUUGUAAACUUCUUUUGUCAGGGACGAAACAAAUGACGGUACCUGACGAAUAAGCCACGGCUAACUUCGUGCCAGCAGCCGCGGUAAUACGUAGGUGGCAAGCGGUAUCCGGAUUUACUGGGUGUAAAGGGCGUGUAGGCGGGAGAGCAAGUCAGAUGUGAAAUUCCAGGGCUCAACACUGGAACUGCAGUUGAUACUGUUUUUCUUGAGUGAUGGAGAGGCAGGCGGAAUUCCGUGUGUAGCGGUGAAAUGCGUAGAUAUACGGAGGAACACCAGUGGCGAAGGCGGCCUGCUGGACAUUAACUGACGCUGAGGCGCGAAAGCGUGGGGAGCAAACAGGAGUAGAUACCCCUGUAGUC
RNAcentral lists this ribosomal RNA (443 nucleotides) under uncultured bacterium. RNAcentral describes it as "partial 16S ribosomal RNA". It matches the Rfam family "Bacterial small subunit ribosomal RNA", at positions 338 to 795 of the family's 1533-position model. The record is from RNAcentral.